GACGAACGCUGGCGGCGUGCUUAACACAUGCAAGUCGAGCGGUAAGGCCCUUUCGGGGGUACACGAGCGGCGAACGGGUGAGUAACACGUGGGUGACCUGCCCUCAGCUCUGGGAUAAGCCUGGGAAACUGGGUCUAAUACCGGAUAUGACUCCGUGACGCAUGUUGUGGGGUGGAAAGCCUUGUGCGGCUGGGGAUGGGCCCGCGGCCUAUCAGCUUGUUGGUGGGGUGAUGGGCCACCAAGGCGACGACGGGUAGCCGGCCUGAGAGGGCGACCGGCCACACUGGGACUGAGACACGGCCCAGACUCCUACGGGAGGCAGCAGUGGGGAAUCUUGCGCAAUGGGCGAAAGCCUGACGCAGCGACGCCGCGUGAGGGAUGACGGCCUCGGUUGUAACCGU
This 401-nucleotide ribosomal RNA is filed under the name uncultured bacterium. RNAcentral's name for it is "bacterial SSU rRNA". It matches the Rfam family "Bacterial small subunit ribosomal RNA", at positions 28 to 432 of the family's 1533-position model. The record is from RNAcentral.